GACGAACGCUGGCGGCGUGCCUAACACAUGCAAGUCGAGCGGACGGACGCGGAGCUUGCGGCGCUGAUGUUAGCGGCGGACGGGUGAGUAACACGUGGAUAACCUCCCUAUCUGACUGGGAUAACUUCGGGAAUCCGUAUCUUAUACCGGAUAAUAUUCUGAACCGCGUGGGUCGAAAGUGAAAGACGGCCUUGCUGUCACUUAUCGAUGGAUCCGCGCUGCAUUAGCUAGUUGGUAAGGUAACGGCUUACCAAGGCAACGAUGCAUAGCCGACCUGAGAGGGUGAUCGGCCACACUGGAACUGAGACACGGUCCAGACUCCUACGGGAGGCAGCAGUAGGGAAUCUUCCGCAAUGGGCGAAAGCCUGACGGAGCAACGCCGCGUGAGUGAUGAAGGUCUUCGGAUCGUAAAACUCUGUUAUUAGGGAAGAACAUAUGUGUAAGUAACUGUGCACAUCUUGACGGUACCUAAUCAGAAAGCCACGGCUAACUACGUG
This 497-nucleotide ribosomal RNA is filed under the name uncultured bacterium. RNAcentral's name for it is "partial 16S ribosomal RNA". It matches the Rfam family "Bacterial small subunit ribosomal RNA", at positions 28 to 507 of the family's 1533-position model. The record is from RNAcentral.